CGUUUAGGGGUAAACCUGAGAAACCCGAAAGGUCGAAGGAAGAAAUUCAAUCGUGCCCGAUAAGGUUAUUGUGCGGUAAUGGUGUCGAAAGAUGGAUUCGUUCAUUUUUUGCCCUGCCGUAUGAUAUAUGUACCUUGUUGGACGCGUGCACUUUUCUUCUGGUAGGACGUUGCGAUCCGUUGAGUGUUGAUCUACGAUUCGGAUGGUAGCCCUUAUCUGAUAGACCCCCUGGGUGUCUAUCAGAUAAGGACCUCUGACAUCUGGUCAACUGGCUCGACGGUAUAUUUAAUGGUUUUCGGCCGCUCAUUAAUGGAGCGUUCGGCUUGUGGCAAGCACGUCAAAUGUUUCGGUACAUCGGACCUAGUGCCGUGUCUGAUCCUUGACGUCUGUUGGCCGCUUUGUCUCGAACAGACCGAUACACAAAACCGAUCUGCGACGAUAUAGCUUUGGGUACUUUCAGGACCCGUCUUGAAACACGGACCAAGGAGUCUAGCAUGUACGCAAGUCAUUGGGAACUACAAAACCUAAAGGCGCAAUGAAAGUGAACGUUUAUCUUUACGGUGAACGAUGGGAAGAUGGGCGUUGAUCCUAAUACGGUUUGCGUUCAGCAUUCCCGGGGCGUCUCAUUCUCAUUGCGAGAAGAGGCGCACCAUGAGCGUACACGCUGGGACCCGAAAGAUGGUGAACUAU
This 690-nucleotide ribosomal RNA is filed under the name Cryphalus sp. 4187 mulberry. RNAcentral's name for it is "partial large subunit ribosomal RNA". It matches the Rfam family "Eukaryotic large subunit ribosomal RNA", at positions 406 to 834 of the family's 3401-position model. The record is from RNAcentral. Lineage: Eukaryota; Metazoa; Arthropoda; Insecta; Coleoptera; Curculionidae.